RNAcentral lists this transfer RNA (73 nucleotides) under Felis catus (domestic cat). It matches the Rfam family "tRNA". From Rfam's summary of the family: Transfer RNA (tRNA) molecules are approximately 80 nucleotides in length. Their secondary structure includes four short double-helical elements and three loops (D, anti-codon, and T loops). Lineage: Eukaryota; Metazoa; Chordata; Mammalia; Carnivora; Felidae. The record is from Rfam by way of RNAcentral.
GCCUGCCUGGCUCAGUCGGUAGAGCACGUGACUCUUGAUCUUGGGGUCAUGAGUUUGAGCCCCAUGUUAGGUA